This 25-nucleotide non-coding RNA is filed under the name Cricetulus griseus (Chinese hamster). Lineage: Eukaryota; Metazoa; Chordata; Mammalia; Rodentia; Cricetidae. The record is from RNAcentral.
AACAUCUGGAAGAAAACAACUGAAA